This is a small nuclear RNA of 164 nucleotides. Its record names the gene U1. It matches the Rfam family "U1 spliceosomal RNA". From Rfam's summary of the family: U1 is a small nuclear RNA (snRNA) component of the spliceosome (involved in pre-mRNA splicing). The record is from Ensembl.
AUACUUACCUGGCGGGGGAGAUACCAUGAUCGAGUAGGUGGUUUUCCCAGGGCGAGGCUCAUCCAUUGCACCUCGGAUGUGCUGACCCCUGCGAUUUCCCCACAUGUGGGAAACUCGACUGCAUAAUUUGUGGUAGUGGGGGACUGCGUUCGCUCUUUCCCCUA